UAGUUUGCUCCACUGAAUACUUCUCUUCACAGACCCCAAAACACAGAACCAACAACCAAGGACUAAAACCUAUGAAACUGUUAGCAAGAAUAAACCUUUCAUCCCAAUGAGUUGUUUCUCUCAUAGCAACAGGAAGUGAAUGGAAGCAAUGAAAUGCCUGUGUUCCUUGUUAUCUUUUGUCAUAUUUAUUAGUGGCAUCAAAUUAAGUUCACCAGUAGUGCAUGAUAAUAAUGACUCUUGGUAUUCUAGUUAAACCUGACAAUAUUAAAGAGGAUAUAUUUGAGAAUGUCCAUACUGGUUAAGAGAGAAAAGUUGAGAGGCAAUACUUCAUUUAGGGUUCUCUAGAGGAACAGAACCAUCAUAAUAAUGUGCAUGUCUAUGUUUAUAAAAGAGAAAGAUUCAUUUAUAUAAUCAGAAGCUGGAUAGUCCUACAAUGGAGACUAUACAUGGGUGAGUUGGAGAAACCAGCAGCUGCUCAGUCCAAGAAGUCUCACAAUAAGAGCAACCAGUGGUGAGAGGCAUCCAAGCUAGAAACUCCCUGGAAAAAUCACUGCACUGCCAACAUUCAGGGUGAUCUGCCUCCUCAGUUAGCUUUUCCACAGGCCAGUGAUCCCUGGAAAGACCCACAUCAACGUACCUGGAAGACUCCUCAUUUUCAGAGUUUCCUUGGCAUCUCUCAAUCCAAUCAAGUUGACAAUCCAGGUUGAUCAUUAUGAAUAUUACCUAAUUCUUGCACUCAAUAGAAUGCACAGAAGAACAUUUGUGAAUACAAGCAUCCAUUUUACCAACAUUGAUGGGUAGCAUUGUGUGUAUAAAGGAAACUAUAAAAAAAAGGGUUGGCGAUGGGAUUCGUUUUUGCCUAGGAAAUGAACAUAAGUGUCCAAGUUCAGGUUUAAGGCUUUGAAGUCAGAACCUGUCUUCUUCAAGAUCCCUGUUUCUUCUAUGGACUGUGUUCAUUUGAUGGAAAAAAGUGAAGGAAGAUGAAACAGGAGCCACAAAUGAAGAAAAGUUGGAUCAAUGUAAGCAUCAUGAAAGGAAGAAAGACACCUCCAGCUCAAAAUAACAGACGAGAACUGUUUUGUAAAAGAUAAAUAAAAUGAUGAAAUAUUA
This is a non-coding RNA of Ictidomys tridecemlineatus (thirteen-lined ground squirrel), 1110 nucleotides long. NCBI's taxonomy places the organism in Eukaryota, Metazoa, Chordata, Mammalia, Rodentia, Sciuridae. The record is from RefSeq and is a predicted model, not a curated record.